Molecule: long non-coding RNA, 336 nt
Filed under: Mytilus galloprovincialis (Mediterranean mussel)
Lineage: Eukaryota; Metazoa; Mollusca; Bivalvia; Mytilida; Mytilidae
Source: RNAcentral
GAGAUUUUGUAAUUUAAUAUAAAAAAAUAUAAAUUAUCACAGGCAGUUUGAUAUCUUAUAUAUCAUGUAUAUAUUGCACAUACUUUAAAAAAAAAUAUCUAACAAUUAGGAAUGCAAGUCAACCUGAAAUCUUAAACAAAUAUAUAUAUAUACAUAAAGGAACUGUCAAACACUACAUCAAAUUGGUCAAUCUAAUGAAUCUUUCAGAAAUGUAGUGUAAGGUUUACACCAAAGUAUUGUAAUCAGUUCAAAAUAUAGUUAACUACAUGAAUAAUGGUGAAUAUUUUCCCAUGCAGGUUUCAAAAGGUUGCAAGCGCAAUAUAUUCUAUAAAGGAU